UACGUAGGGUGCAAGCGUUAAUCGGAAUUACUGGGCGUAAAGCGUGCGCAGGCGGUUCGCUAAGACAGAUGUGAAAUCCCCGGGCUUAACCUGGGAACUGCAUUUGUGACUGGCGGGCUAGAGUAUGGCAGAGGGGGGGUAGAAUUCCACGUGUAGCAGUGAAAUGCGUAGAGAUGUGGAGGAAUACCGAUGGCGAAGGCAGCCCCCUGGGCCCAAUACUGACGCUCAUGCACGAA
RNAcentral lists this ribosomal RNA (236 nucleotides) under uncultured bacterium. Its description in RNAcentral is "partial 16S ribosomal RNA". It matches the Rfam family "Bacterial small subunit ribosomal RNA", at positions 524 to 757 of the family's 1533-position model. The record is from RNAcentral.